UCUCAUGCAAAUUGUUUGAAAUUCUUGAGGUGGAACAUUUGGCUUCCAUUGAAAAGCAUGUUUGUAAACUCUUACAUCAUUAGGAGUGAGAUUAUCCUAUAUAAUAAUGGGGUUUCUGAUUUAGAUUGGCCUAAAGAAAGAAAUCUAGCAUGAAUCAGUGCUGAAAUAAUGUAAUAUUUAUCCUUACACCAUAUUGCUGUAUAAUUUACUUGAAUUGAUGCUGGAGGAUUGUUCAUCAGCAAACCUAAGAGUUCUACCUAGGUGGUUUUGAGAGUAGUAUUUCCUGGAUUUG
Molecule: unclassified non-coding RNA, 292 nt
Filed under: Hevea brasiliensis (rubber tree)
Lineage: Eukaryota; Viridiplantae; Streptophyta; Magnoliopsida; Malpighiales; Euphorbiaceae
Source: RNAcentral